GGGGAUGUGGCUUAAUGGUAGAGUGCUUGCCUAGCAUGCAUGAAGCCCUGGGUUCGAUUCCUCAGUACUA
This 70-nucleotide transfer RNA is filed under the name Dipodomys ordii (Ord's kangaroo rat). It matches the Rfam family "tRNA". Rfam says of the family: Transfer RNA (tRNA) molecules are approximately 80 nucleotides in length. Their secondary structure includes four short double-helical elements and three loops (D, anti-codon, and T loops). Lineage: Eukaryota; Metazoa; Chordata; Mammalia; Rodentia; Heteromyidae. The record is from Rfam by way of RNAcentral.